CGUAUCUAUAGUUCUGUAAAAAGGUUGUUCACCUUUUUUUGACUUUACUACCUACAUACUACAGAUGUACUUUCAUGGAUCACUGAAAGGAGGGAAUGGCUCACAUGCUUUGUCCAAAAAUAUGAUAGACAACAGGCUUUUAAGGGGCUGGCAGAAACAAGAG
Notechis scutatus (mainland tiger snake) is the source of this 163-nucleotide non-coding RNA. The record is from RefSeq and is a predicted model, not a curated record. NCBI's taxonomy places the organism in Eukaryota, Metazoa, Chordata, Lepidosauria, Squamata, Elapidae.